Molecule: long non-coding RNA, 1962 nt
Organism: Oncorhynchus tshawytscha (Chinook salmon)
Lineage: Eukaryota; Metazoa; Chordata; Actinopteri; Salmoniformes; Salmonidae
Source: Ensembl
GGUCGUAAAUGGGUCUUCCAAAUGGACAAUGACCCGAAGCAUAUUUCCAAGUAUCCAAGUUGUGGCAAAAUGGCUUAAGGACAACAAAAUCAAGGUAUUGGAGUGGCCAUCAGAAAGCCCUGACCUCAAUCCUAUAGAAAAUGUGUGGGCAGAACAGAAAAAGUGUGUGGAGGCCUACAAACCUGACUCAGUUACACCAGCUCUGUCAGGAGGAAUGGGCCAAAUUUCACCCAACUUAUUGUGGGAAGCUUGUGGAAGGCUACCUGAAACGUUUGACCCAAGUUAAAAUUUUUAAAGACAAUGCUACCAAAUACUAAUUGAGUGUAUGUAAACAUCUGACCCAUAGGGAAUGUGAUGAAAGAAAUAAAAGCUGAAAUAAAUAAUUCUCUCUACUAUUAUUCUGACAUUUCACAUUCUUAAAAAAAGUGGUAAUCUUAACUGACCUAAAACAGGGAAUUUUUACUAGGAUUAAAUGCCAGGAAAAAAAGUGAGUUUAAAUGUAUUUGGCUAAGGUGCAUGUAAACUUACGACUUCAACUGUAUGUAUGAUAAGCAGACAGGUAGUAGUUAGUUACAGUUCUGUGGUCUGAUAUGUCCUGUUUACCAUCAGAGCAAACUGUACAGGUCUGAGACUCAUGACUUCAGGUUGAUCAAACUGAUAAACUGAUUGUUAUGAUUAUUGCUCUCUGUUUGACAUUGACUGUUUGCAGACAUUAGUCUAUAGCUAUGGGAUAAAUGGCUUAUUCUAGUCUGGGUGCCCAUCAAAUGGUUUGGCUUCCUUCUCAAGCUGAUUUUCUCUUGAGUAUACCUUCACACUCACAUGCAGAGACAUGGGUGCAUACACACACACACACGCACGCACGCACGCACGCACGCACACACACACACACACACACACACACACACACACACAGAGUAGUAUCAGUCCUUCUCUGUGAGAGAGAGUGGGGUCUUCAGUGGUGGGAGUCUCCAGGUGUGCUUCGUCUGCUCCAGGUUGAUGUGGAUUGCUGCUGCUGUCUGCGUUGUUCUACUCAAGGCAUUUAAAGUUCUCCUCUCCAGAGCUUAGAAACUGUCAGUCAAAUCCACAGGAUCAGAUCACGACUGCUUCAGUUCUCAACAAGCCCCUUUCCACAAUAAGUCACACACAGGGCCCUGCUGUCCCAGGUUCUCCAAUCCCAGCUCCAGCCCUUUAUCCUCGUGCCCUUAAGGUCCAAGGCCAGGUUAUCUCCCUCUUUCCUGUGUUCUCAGUAAGGCAUCUCAGCAAUGGUGCGGAGUGUCGAAGGGUUGGUCUGUCUGUCGGUCUGACUGCUUGCCCUGGAUUCAGGGUAAGGGCAUGAUAUCAUGGUGACAUCAUCAAACCUCAGAGCUGUUGUCCUCCGCUGCACCACUUUUCUAAUGUCUACUUCCUCCUUUAGUUUGGGACUUCCUCCUGCAUGUUACAGAGAUCAGAGGGCUGUUCUAAGUGCUAUGAGCCGUCCUCUCCCCUCCUUCAUUCCCUAUCACUACACCUCGACAGGGGAGGUCUCCCUCGUGGAAUGAACCUAACUGAAACGUCCACAGAUGUGGAGGGAGGAACUGAAAAGGAGACGCUUUAAUUCAGAAUGAAACAGGGCACAGAAGGGCUGAAUUCCUAAUGGAACGGGGUCCAGAGGGUCUUCAUUUAGAAUGGAACCGGGCCCAGAUGGGCUUCAUUCAGAACGGAACGGGGCCCAGAAGGGCUUCAUUCAGAAUGGAUUGGGACCCAGAAUGGCUUCAUUCAGAUUGGAACGGGGGCCAGACGGGCUUCAUUCAGAAUGGAACGGGGGCCAGAGGGCAGCCAGUCAGCCAAUCUGUGGAUCUCUAGUGGCUUGGUUGAGUUAGACUGGGACAGGGCCAUUCUUACUGUGGCUCUCUAGUGCUUUGAUACUGCUCACAAUGUUCUUCUGGGGGCCGACGAUAGUCACACCAACCUUCUUUAGGUCCC